CAAGACGUAGCUAUAACAAAAGCAUUCAGCUUACGCCUGAAAGAUAUCUGCCCCCCACCAGAUCGUCUUGA
This 71-nucleotide transfer RNA is filed under the name Glareola maldivarum. RNAcentral describes it as "tRNA-Val". Lineage: Eukaryota; Metazoa; Chordata; Aves; Charadriiformes; Glareolidae. The record is from RNAcentral.